AGGCCACCAUCCAUGGUGGAACCGAAGCCACCCAAGAUGCCACCUUCACCCCCCGCCUCCUUGUCACCCGUGGGGCCACCUUCACCCCUGGUGGAGGAGGAAGAGGAGGAGGAGGAGGAGGAGGAGGUGUCCUUGUCCCCACCGGGUGGCCCCGACCUGGCCUUGGAGGAGCUGGACGUCACCGAGUUGGCCUUGGCCGCCGGGCUCUUGGGGACGUCAGGGGGGACGAGGAGGGGGGGGGACAGCAGCGAGGAGGAGGAGGAGGAAGAUGAAGAAGAUGAUGGUGGUGAUGGUGGCCACCACCCUGCUCCUCGAGGCGGCCCCUACUACCGCUACCCCCGCACGGUGGUGACACGGGGACAACCUUGUCCCCUCCCCCUGCCGCCCCACAUCCACCAGUUGGACGGGGUGGACGACGGGGGGGACAAGGGGCCACCACCCCCACCCUUGGGGCCACCACCACCAUCUUUGGGGCCACCACCACCACCUUUGGGGCCACCACCAUCUUUAGGGCCACCAGCACCAUCUUUGGGGCCACCACCCCCACCCUUGGGGCCACCACCACCAUCUUUGGGGCCACCACCACCACCUUUGGGGCCACCAGCACCACCUUUGGGGCCACCACCAUCUUUGGGGCCACCACCACCAUCUUUGGUUCCACCACCAUCUUUGGGGCCACCAGCACCACCUUUGGGGCCACCACCCCCACCCAUGGGGCCACCACCCCCCGGCGAGGACCUUCCCUCUGACAUCGUGGACUUUGUCCUGAAGAACACGGCGGGGGGUGGUGGCACCAAGGGGACAACGGGGGGGGACGUCAACAGAGGAGGUGGCACCUCGUGGGGCACCCCCCAGGAGGUGGGAGGAGGUGGUGGUGGCACCCAUAGGGACGUGGUGGGUGGCCUCUGUGGGCGUCACCGAGGAGAUGGCAACCACGGGGACCUCUUUGGUGGCCAUGGUGGCCCUGGAGAUGGCACCUGUGGAGAUGGCACCCAUGGAGGUGGCACCCAUGGAGAUGGCACCCACAGACACGUCCUUGGUGGCCCUGGAGACGUCACCCAUGGAGAUGGCACCCAUGGACAUCUUCUUGGUGGCCUUGGAGAUGGCACCCGUGGAGAUGGCACCCACAGACACGUCCUUGGUGGCCUUGGAGACGUCACCCAUGGAGAUGGCACCCAUGGAGAUGGCACCCAUGGACACCUUCUUGAUGGCCACAGUGGCCCUGGAGGUGGCACCCAUGGAGGUGGCACCCAUGGGCACCUUCUCGGUGGCCUUGGUGGUGCCACCCACAGACACCUCUUGGGUGGCCACAGCACCCACGGAAACGCCACCCACAGUCACCUCGUCCCCCGCGGAGAUGCCACCACCAACGGCCACCUCCCCCACCUCAACGGCACCCACUGGGUGUCACCCUGGGGACCCCCCGGGGCACCCAAACGUCCCGGGGACCCCCUGGGCCCUGGGGGCAAACGGGCGCGGCUGGAGGACAACGGCGAGGACAAGGGGGACGGCGGGUAAGGACCACGCCCCAGGGCACCCAUGGGUGACACCGGGUGGGGCCACCACCAUGGGACCACCCCCAGCCCAGUUGGGUCCAUCCCAGUUGGGUCCAUCCCAGUUUGAUGGGUCCAUCCCAGUUGGACCAUCCCAGUUGGACCAUCCCAGUUGGGUCCAUCCCAGUUUGAUGGGACCAUCCCAGUUGGACCAUCCCAGUUUGAUGGGACCAUCCCAGUUGGGUCCAUGGGUGUCCACCACGGUGGGUCCAUCCCAGUUGGGUCCAUCCCAGUUUGAUGGGACCAUCCCAGUUGGGACCAUCCCAGUUGGGUCCAUCCCAGUUGGACCAUCC
Molecule: long non-coding RNA, 1846 nt
Filed under: Calidris pugnax (ruff)
Lineage: Eukaryota; Metazoa; Chordata; Aves; Charadriiformes; Scolopacidae
Description: lncRNA (ENSCPUG00000015861.1)
Source: RNAcentral